ACGCCAGUGUCCCUGGCCGCCUACACCCACUAUACAUCCACAAACCCGUGUGCACUGUCUUGGAGAAAGGCUUCAGAGAAGUUUUUUGUGGCCUCUCUUGGGGUCUUUCUUCGCUACAAACUCGAAUGGUUAGUAUGAACGUGGAACUUGGUUGGACCGUCACUGGCCAACAAACUAUACACAACUUUCAACAACGGAUCCAAAGGGUCUCAUACUUGCCCAGGCCUCCACGACAGAUCAAUC
Molecule: unclassified non-coding RNA, 243 nt
Filed under: uncultured fungus
Lineage: Eukaryota; Fungi
Description: sequence contains ITS1, 5.8S rRNA gene, ITS2
Source: RNAcentral